UUUCUUUGAAAUCCUUCUCUUUAUCGGGUACCCUUGAAGUGUGGUACUUGACUGAUAGCAAUAGGCUUUCGUUUUCGGAACCUGUUCAUCACAUUUGGCCAAUAGAUAAUACGGGGUUUCCAUACCGGCCUUUCGACCUCAGGUAUUAGCCGUAUUUCAUUUCUUUAAUUGUGGGUUUUCCAUACUGGUCUUUCGACCUCAGGUAUUUGCCACCAUGUGUUGGGUCCGCCGGUCCCUCCCGCGUCCCUUGCCUACCCGACCAUCAAUCAAGUACCAUACUCCCAUUUUCAAAACAUCUUCUUUCAUAUCGCUAUGACUCAUCAAUCAUUCAAACAUCAUGAAGAACACGUAGCAAAAGUCACAUUAAAGAACACAUAAUUAGGUUCUUAUGAUGAGCAAAUGAAAGCUUCAACUUACCUCAAAAUCAAUAUGGUUUGUGAAGUAAAAGGAUCAGUCUUAGAUAAGGUGUGCUAAAAGCCUUGAUUACAGAUGAAUUCAAACUUCAAAACAUAGGAUUUUCAGCUAGAAAAGGUGAAGAACUUGUUCUAGCUAUACUUUUAUGAGUUCUUAGGGUUUGAUAUUCUCUUAUGUGAAUAUGGAAGUGAAGAAAUAAGAAGAGAAGCUUAAGUGAAUAGGUCUGGUCGUUUUGGAAGAAGACAAAUGAAAAUGAAGACCAAAACACAAAGUCUUCACUUAUCUACCCAUUCCCAACAAGGCCAAAUGGAGGGUGGUGAUUGGAAGGCUUGUAUUUGUUGGAUUCUUGUGGUUCCUCCACAUUUUUCUAGCUUGAGAUAAGAUAUGGGCUGAUGCUUACUCAUUAUAAUCAAGUGUAAACAAUUUGAGAAUGGUCUUGUGCAACCUAGUCAACCAACCAAUCAAAUUGCACCCUUUUGCAUACUUUGGUUUUAGUCUAAUAUGAGUUACUUCAAGUAAUUACAUAUGUAAUUAAUCAUAUAAAAAUGUAAUUAAAAUGCAGAACUGCAAUUAAGACAAAUAUAUCAGCGUUUAGCACAUUUUAAGAAAAGUAUUCGAUCACGUAUUAAAAACACAAUUAAGGUACAUGUGUAGCAAGUAGUCGUGAUCAUGCAUCAUGAAUAAUGAAUUAUAACUAUAUGCAUUGAUGCAAUAUGCUUAUUAUUGGCCAUGUACGGAUUAUUGGGCAUUACAAUCCUUCCCUCCUUAUAAAAUUUCGCCCUCAAAAUUUGACGUACCGAACAAUUCUGGAUAUUUGCUAUGCAUUUCUUCCUCUCUUUCCCACGUGGAUUCUUCAAUAGAUUGAUUUCUCCACAAUACCUUAACUAAUGGAAUCUUUUUAUUUCUCAGCUCCUUGACUUUUCGAUCAAUAAUUUGAAUUGGUUUCUCCUCAUAAGACAAAUCUGCAGAAAACUCUAACGGUUCAUAACUCAACACAUGAGAGGGAUUUGAAAUGUACUUCUUCAACAUAGACACAUGGAAAACAUUGUGAACACCAGAUAAUGAAGGAGGUAAGGCUACUCUAUAUGCUCUAUCACCAACUCUUUCAAGGAUUUCAAACGGACCAACAUAUCUUGGACUAAGUUUUCCUUUCUUUCCAAAUCUCAUGAUGCCUUUCAAUGGAGCCACUUUCAAAAAUACAUGGUCGCCAACUGUAAACUCUAGAUCUCUUCUUCGUUUAUCUGCAUAGCUUUUCUGUCUACUCUGUGCCAUCUUCAUUCUUUCCCUUAUCUUCUGUACCGUCUCAGCUGUAUGUUGCACCAUCUCUGGCCCAAGUAGACUUCUUUCGCCAACUUCAUCCCAAUGAACUGGAGAUCUACAUUUUCUCCCAUAUAGUGCUUCAUAAGGUGCCAUUCCAAUUGUAGAUUGAUAACUGUUAUUGUAAGUGAACUCUACCAAUGGAAGUUUUUCAUCCCAGCUCCCUUUCAAAUCUAGAACACAAGCUCUUAACAUAUCCUCAAGUAUUUGAAUAACUCUCUCGGAUUGUCCAUUAGUCUGUGGAUGAAAUGUUGUACUAAAUGCAAGCUUUGUCCCCAUAGCAUUGUGCAAACUCUUCCAAAAUGCAGAAGUAAACUUCGGAUCUCUAUCAGACACUAUUGACACUGGCACUCCAUGCAAUAACUACCUCUUUAAUAUAUUGUUGUGCAUAUUGCUCCAUGUUGAAUGUGGACUUCACUUAAAGAAAAUGGGUUGAUUUAGUUAGUCUAUCAACAAUCACCCAUAUGGAAUUGUUUCCCCUUUGUGUUCUAGGCAAUCCAAGCACAAAAUCCAUUGUAAUAUGCUCCCAUUUCCACUCUGGAAUCAGUAAAGGUUUCAAUAGUCCUGCUGGUCUUUGAUGUUCCAUUUUAACUUGUUGACAAGUGAGGCAUUCAGCCACAAACUUUGCUAUAUCUUUCUUCAUGUUAGGCCACCAGUAGUGUAGUUGUAAGUCUUUGUACAUUUUUGUGCUGCCCGGGUGCACUGAGUAAGGACUUCUGUGAGCUUCUUCCAAAAUGUCGCCCUUUAUGUUAGCAUCAAAAGGAACACACAAUCUGCCUUUAUAUCUAAUUAUUUCAUCGUUACCAAUAGAGAAGUUCGGCCUCUUCUUAGCAUCAAUCAUACUUCGCAACCUGGACAAAUACUUAUCCACUUUCUGGGCCUCUUUGAUUCGGUCAUGCAAUACGGGUUUUAAUACUAAAGAUGAUAAAGAACUAACCGUCCCUUUAGGUACAAUUUCAAGCUCUAACCUUUGUAAAUCCAGUAGUAUUGGUUUCUGUAUAACAAGGAAGGAAGACAUAGAUUUUCUACUCAAUGCAUCUGCAGCCACAUUAGCUUUACCAGGAUGAUAGUUAAUCAAACAGUCAUAAUCCUUCACAAGUUCUAACCAUCUUCGCUGUCUCAUAUUCAAUUCUUUCUGAGUGAAGAAGUACUUCAAGCUCUUGUGAUCCGUGUAAAUCUCACAUUUCUCACCAUAUAGGUAAUGCCUCCAAAUUUUCAAGGCAAACACAACGGCAGCAAGCUCUAAAUCAUGAGUUGGUUAAUUCUUCUCAUACUCCUUCAAUUGUCUUGAAGCAUAGGAGAUAACAUUCCCAUGCUGCAUCAAUACAGCACCCAAUCCAUUUUUUGAAGCAUCACUAUACACUACGAAUCCACCAGUUCCAGAAGGAAUGACGAGAACAGGAGCUGUAGUACAUCUCCGUUUCAACUCUUGAAAGCUACUUUCACAUGCAUCAGUCCAUACAUACUUCACGUUCUUUCGCGUAAGCAUUGUUAAUGGAGUUGCUAUCUUGGAAAACCCCUGAACAAAUCUUCGAUAAUAUGCUGCCAAUCCUAAGAAACUUCUAACCUCUGAUACAGUUGUUGGUGUUGGCCAAUUUUUGACAGCUUCUAUCUUACUCGGGUCGACAGAAAUACCAUUCUUGGACACGACAUGCCCUAGGAAUACAACUUGAUCAAGCCAAAACUCGCACUUCUUAAAUUUAGCAUAUAGUUGCCUUUCUUUCAAUAUUUGCAACACCACUCUCAAAUGUUCUCUAUGUUCGUCUUUAUCAUGGGAAUAGAUCAAUAUAUCAUCAAUGAACACAAUCACAAAUUUGUCGAGGAACUCCUUGAACACCCUAUUCAUCAAAUCCAUAAAAGAUGCGGGGGCAUUUUGUAACGCCCCACAACCUAACAGCAGAAUCCAAUCGGAUCACCACCAUUAAGUUAGGGAUGCUAACCUUUUACAUAUUUACUUGAACAUUAUGGUUUUAAUACAAAAAUAAAUAAUAUGCUUUGAAAAGAAAUCAAACUCUGUACUUUCUCGAAAUCUGUACAUAUAUAGAUAUAUAUUGUUUACAAAAUUACUUUGUACAACAACCAUAAUAGAGCGGCUAACAAAAUCAAAUCAGAGUUUCUAGCUCGGCUACAAAAAUGGCGCGAAGCAUGGCAUAUGAACAAAACUCUGUCUGGCCGCUCUUGGCUAGGUCAACUUCUAAACAUGUACAUCAUUACCUGCAUCAUAAGGACCUAAUGAGCUAAAAGCUCAGCAAGUUGUAACUGAUGUAAUAACAAUCUAUCACAUAACACGUUAUUCAUUCAAUAUGUACAAUAUCACAUAUAACUUCAUUCGUGAUCCUUUUCUUUGAAAUCCUUCUCUUUAUCGGGUACCCUUGAAGUGUGGUACUUGACUGAUAGCAAUAGCCUUUCGUUUUCGGAACCUGUUUAUCAUAUUUGGCCAAUAGAUAAUACGGGGGUUUCCAUACCAGCCUUUCGACCUCAGGUAUUAGCCGUAUUUCAUUUCUUUAAUUGUGGGUUUUCCAUACUGGUCUUUCGACCUCAGGUAUUUGCCACCAUGUGUUGGGUCCGCCGGUUCCUCCCGCGUCCCUUGCCUACUCGACCAUCAAUCAAGUACCAUACUCCCAAUUUCAAAACAUAUUCUUUCAUAUCACUAUGACCCAUCA
RNAcentral lists this long non-coding RNA (4394 nucleotides) under Erythranthe guttata (spotted monkey flower). Its description in RNAcentral is "long non-coding RNA (EGUT_LNC003477)". Lineage: Eukaryota; Viridiplantae; Streptophyta; Magnoliopsida; Lamiales; Phrymaceae. The record is from RNAcentral.